AUGCUUUGGUCCGAAUUUCCAGUUCUGGUUCAAACUGCACUGCAGAAGACGCGAGACGGAGUUUGGACGUCAGCCAAAGGGAGGGUCGGUCCACGUUUGUACCCGCUCAAGAUGUUUGCCUGCUCUCUGGGAAGCCGGGGAGGCUGUCAGCGGCAGUGGCGGGCGGCAGGCGGCGGGCGCGGCCACUCUCCGGCCAUAUGCAGAGACAAAAUGAACAUGAGGGGCGGGCGGGAAAGUCUUACAGCAUAAAGCUUCUGGAAAUCGACUAAAAAGCGCAGAUUUUUAUAAUAAACUUCAAUCAGGAGCUGAUGUGAGACAAAAUGACUCUCUUCCCAGCUUUCUUGCGACCUCACUUGUCAAAAAUAAAAGCCUGUGUUGCACAAAGUUGCUCAAUAAUGAACAAAAUCCUAUAUAUUAUGUCAGUUCCUUUAAAAGGUCACAUAGUGUAAUCAUAUUGAAAGCUGGCAGUUCAUUUAGAAGCUGUGAAUACAUACACAAGCGCUCAUGCAUAUACAGUAGCCGCCUGUCUGUGAAGUGCAUUCAUUCACUCUCUCUCACACACACACACACACACACACACACACACACACACACACACACACACAGAGAUUUCAGCGCUCAUUAGCAUUUUAAAGAGGAAUUCCACUCGUUCACCAUUUAGUACCUGCCAGUCGGCAUUUGUGAGCAUGAUCGACUCUUCCUAAAGCAACCCACUGAAGAAGUGAAACCUGUGAUGUCAUUAACAUUUAAAUUAUAAAGCUGCUACAUGAUGUGUGCGUGAGAGAGUGAUUCUGUGGGCAGACAAAAGGUGAUUGAGUUGUAUUUUUUACCACCGAAUGAGCUCCGGACGUGUAUAAAUAUAUCAACCUGUGCCCUCAGUCACUUUUCUGCUUCUCUAAGGUUAGUAGUGAUGCAGAAAUUCAUGAUUUUACAUCUUAUUGACAAUUUCAAAUGUUCUUCAUCCUUGAAAUCAACUGUACAAGACCCUCCAAAAAAUAACAUUAGGUCGUAACUAAAUUAAAAAUGUAUUUUUAGUUCUCUGUUAUGUGAUAACCCUAAUUACAAAUUGAAAUUGAAGGUCAGUUAGAGUAAGAGGCAGAAUUUAAAACUGGUGCACGUAGCAUCUCUCAUUUCACUCUAAGUUCUGACCCGAAGAAAGAUUUUGCGGCAAACAAAAGUUUAAAGGAUAAGUGGCUGGAGGGAUGUGAAUAAGAUUUAAAUGAGGAGAGGUUGGUUGGAUUGACCUAAAAUAUUUAUACUGCAGAGUAAAAAGUACAAAAAUCCACUUACUAGUGUUUUCUAGAGCUUUCAGACUCAUCUCAUGGUCUUCAGCAGCAACUGGAGUUUGCCCAUCUGUCAUAAAAAUGGCUCAGUUGUCAUCGUGUGACCUAAAUAUGGAAAUGAGUAAAAACAAACAGGUAAGAGAGGGGUUUUUUGUGUCAAACUACAACAUUGAUGCUCAAGAAUUAACUUUCAGGCUCAGUUUUUAUGAGAUACAAAUAUUGAAGAUAAAUAAUUCAAAGACACACAAAACAGUUAAAAACCUUUUUAUUUCAAGUGUUCUUAUGUAAGACAAUUACAUAAUUAUCCAAUUAAAAAUCUAUUUUGGUUUGCACAUCAGAUGUUAUUUUCAUGUCACAUUAACUAGUACAAAAUGUCAUCAUUAAAGGAUUCAAUGUGUUUACAGAUUGCAACCAACUGAAUACUGAAGAAACUACGGUGGCCCUACCUAGAGCCAGUGUAUGCUUUGUCCGGUCUGGGCUACUGUAGAAACAUAGUGGUUCAAAAUGACACAAAUGAAAACAUACCUAUGAAUAUUAAAUUAAAUUUUUCAUGCCAAUAGAUCCUUUCAAAUGUUACACUGGAGUAGUUUUGUAGAUUUGGCCAUCCUUUCUGUUGGACAUGAUGACAAUGCUGAUAUACCUGAAAAGAAGUCACAUGUGGCAACGCGAGCAAUUAGAUGAUCAGACAGUUUGAUCAAACUAAUUCGGAAGAUAAAACAUUAUACAUAAACAUCUAUUACAGCCUACAGACCAACUUCUUGCAUCAACUUUGACGUAAUGUAGUUGUGCUAAGAUUUAAGUUGCACAAAACCAUCAUUAUUUACUAUCCAAUGUUUACUGAAAUCAUGUGCUCUCAUUAAAUCAAUCACAAAAUGAUUGUUUUUCAGCCCAUUUAAAAACUUCUUUACUCACUUUGACAGAAAUACAUUUAACAAACGUAACCACUUAGCACACAAACAG
Long non-coding RNA from Dicentrarchus labrax (European seabass), 2243 nucleotides. The record is from Ensembl. NCBI's taxonomy places the organism in Eukaryota, Metazoa, Chordata, Actinopteri, Moronidae.